UUCCACGUGGUCUAGUGGCUAGGAUAUCUGGCUUUCACCCAGAAGGCCCGGGUUUGAUUCUCAGCGAGUGAAU
RNAcentral lists this transfer RNA (73 nucleotides) under Cordylochernes scorpioides. Its description in RNAcentral is "tRNA-Glu". It matches the Rfam family "tRNA". Rfam says of the family: Transfer RNA (tRNA) molecules are approximately 80 nucleotides in length. Their secondary structure includes four short double-helical elements and three loops (D, anti-codon, and T loops). Lineage: Eukaryota; Metazoa; Arthropoda; Arachnida; Pseudoscorpiones; Chernetidae. The record is from RNAcentral.